GACGAACGCUGGCGGCGUGCUUAACACAUGCAAGUCGAACGGAAAGCCCCUGCUUUUGUGGGGUGCCCGAGUGGCGAACGGGUGAGUAACACGUGAGUAACCUGCCCUUGACUUUGGGAUAACUUCAGGAAACUGGGGCUACUACCGGAUAGGAGAUCCUGCUGCAUGGUGGGGGUUGGAAAGUUUCGGCUGUUGGGGAUGGACUCGCGGCUUAUCAGCUUGUUGGUGAGGUAGUGGCUUACCAAGGCUUUGACGGGUAGCCGGCCUGAGAGGGUGACCGGCCACAUUGGGACUGAGAUACGGCGCAGACUCCUACGGGAGGCAGCAGUGGGGAAUAUGGCACAAUGGGCGGAAGCCUGAGGCAGCAACGCCGCGUGCGGGAUGACGGCCUUCGGGUUGUAAACCGCUUUCGCAUGUGACGAAGCGUGAGUGACGGUAAUGGGUAAAGAAGCACCGGCUAACUACGUG
Molecule: ribosomal RNA, 468 nt
Filed under: uncultured bacterium
Lineage: Bacteria
Description: partial 16S ribosomal RNA
Rfam family: Bacterial small subunit ribosomal RNA
Source: RNAcentral